GAUGAACGCUAGCGGCAGGCCUAACACAUGCAAGUCGAGGGGCAUCAUGGCGUAGCAAUACGCUGAUGGCGACCGGCGCACGGGUGCGUAACGCGUAUGUAACCUACCCUGUACAGGGGGAUAACCCGGAGAAAUUCGGACUAAUAUCCCAUAACAAUAUCCGGGGGCAUCUUUGGAUAUUUAAAGUUCCGGCGGUACGGGAUGGGCAUGCGUAACAUUAGCUAGUUGGUAAGGUAACGGCUUACCAAGGCUUUGAUGUUUAGGGGUCCUGAGAGGGUGGUCCCCCACACUGGUACUGAGACACGGACCAGACUCCUACGGGAGGCAGCAGUGAGGAAUAUUGGUCAAUGGGCGCAAGCCUGAACCAGCCAUCCCGCGUGCAGGAAGACGGCGCUAUGCGUUGUAAACUGCUUUUCCAGGGAGAGAAACUUGCGCACGUGUUGCGCAAUUGACGGUACCCUGGGAAUAAGCAUCGGCUAACUCCGUG
RNAcentral lists this ribosomal RNA (487 nucleotides) under uncultured bacterium. Its description in RNAcentral is "bacterial SSU rRNA". It matches the Rfam family "Bacterial small subunit ribosomal RNA", at positions 28 to 507 of the family's 1533-position model. The record is from RNAcentral.